This is a non-coding RNA of Leptosomus discolor (cuckoo roller), 1185 nucleotides long. The record is from the annotation of a RefSeq genome assembly. Lineage: Eukaryota; Metazoa; Chordata; Aves; Leptosomiformes; Leptosomidae.
GGAGAGAGCCAGCUCUUCCCGGUCAUCCAGAGCAACAACAGCUUCUACACCAUCACUGACCUCAUCACCGUCCCGGCCACCAGCGUGGAGGACACCACCUUCCAGUGUAGGGUGCAGCACAGCACCACCAAUACCAACGUCGUGAAGGACAUCACAGAUGUUUGUCACGUUCCCCCACCGGUGGUCAAGCUCCUGAGUGACCCCAACCAGGACCAACCUUCCGAAAACGUCCUCCUGCUCUGCCUGGUGGAAGGGAAGCCCCCUGCCGAUGCCACGGUGCAAUGGCUGAUCAACGGCGAGGAGCAGGCCCUGCAGCAGGAGGUCACCACAUGUGACAAGUGCUCCACCAACCAGGCCGUAUUGACCAGCCAGGUCUAUGUCAGCCGGCAGAGCUGGGACCUCGGGGCCACCUUCUCCUGCAAAGUGACCUCCCCCUCGCUGAAGGUCCCCAUCGUCGCCGACAUCAGCACCUUCUGCACAGCAGAUCAACUGUCGGUGGAGGUCACGAUCAUCCCCCCGUCCUUGGAGGACCUCUACCUCAGCCAGAACGCCAACCUCACCUGCGUGGCCACCAACCUGAAGUCUUCCAACAACGUCAAGUUCACCUGGGGCCGGAGUACGGGUGGGGCGUUGGACGGGGUUACGGAGUCACCAGAGAAGUUGGAGAACGGCCUCUACCGUGCCACCAGCGUCCUGAACCUCUGCGCCGACGAGUGGAACUCGGGCGAGACCUUCACCUGCUCUGUCUUCAUCCCCGAGAUCGGUGAACCCAUCCAGAGGUCCACCAAGAAAGAUCUAGCCGUCUCGGUGAAGGCACCGUCCGUCUACGUCUUCCCUCCAUCGGCUGAGGAGUUGGCCCAGCAGGAAAUGGCCACCUUGACCUGCCUGGCCUUGGGCUUCCGCCCCAGGGACAUCUUGGUCACCUGGACCCAAGAAGACCGCCCCGUGUCCCCCAGCAGCAUCUCCACCUUCGGACCUCAAGCCGAUGGAGACGCCUUCACGCUCUACAGCAUGUUGACCGUGCCGGCGAGCGAUUGGCAACGCGGCGACUCCUUCGCUUGCGUGGUCGGCCAUGACGGCAUCCCGCUCCACUUCGUGCAGAAGACUUUGGACAAGAACCUCGGUAAACCCACCACCGUCAACGUCUCGGUCAUCCUCGCCGACUCUGACGUCACCUGCUACUGA